UACAGAGGGUGCGAGCGUUGUUCGGAAUUACUGGGCGUAAAGGGCUCGUAGGCGGCCAACUAAGUCCGACGUGAAAUCCCCAGGCUUAACCUGGGAACUGCGUCGGAUACUGGAUGGCUUGAAUUCGGGAGAGGGAUGCAGAAUUCCAGGUGUAGCGGUGAAAUGCGUAGAUAUCUGGAGGAAUACCGGUGGCGAAGGCGGCAUCCUGGACCGACAUUGACGCUGAUGAGCGAAAGCUAGGGGAGCAAACGGG
Molecule: ribosomal RNA, 253 nt
Filed under: uncultured bacterium
Lineage: Bacteria
Description: partial 16S ribosomal RNA
Rfam family: Bacterial small subunit ribosomal RNA
Source: RNAcentral